RNAcentral lists this long non-coding RNA (1037 nucleotides) under Chrysemys picta bellii (western painted turtle). Its description in RNAcentral is "lncRNA (ENSCPBG00000003240.1)". The record is from RNAcentral. Lineage: Eukaryota; Metazoa; Chordata; Testudines; Emydidae.
GGUGCCUCCAGUUGGGAAAGGUGUGUCAAAGAAGAAAAAGUGGACUGUGCAUUAUCCAAAGAUUCCAUCAGCUAUAAGCCCAGUACCCCACGGAGAAGGACUGCCGGUUCCUGAUGCACCAGAAUCAUUCUCACUUGAGUCAGACGAGGAAGACGAAGAGGUUGGAACUUCUGGUCCUGAACCAUCAAUGUCACAGGAUCCACAUUUUCUCCCAUCCUCCUCCUCUGAACCACACCUCAUAACACAAGGUGAACUGAAUGACCUUGUCAGGGAUUUGGAACUACCCAAGAGUAAGGCAGAGCUGUUGGGCUCCAGACUACAGCAGUGGAAUCUCCUGGCAGGUGUUGUUAGGGUUUCCAUGUUCCGUGACCGUCAAAAGGAUCUUGUCCCAUUCUUCUUCAUGGAAGGUGAUCUUGUAGCCUGCAAUAACAUCGAUGGUGUGAUGGCAGCCCUCAACAUCGUUCACGAUCCAGAUGAGUGGAGACUGUUCAUUGAUUCAUCGAAGAGGAGUCUUAACGCUGUUUUACUGCAUAAUGGCAAUGUUUUGCUAUCAAUUCCAGUUGGUCAUGCAGUCCAUAUGAAGGAAACCUAUGACAACAUGAAACAACUUUUGAGGUGCAUAAACUAUGACCAACAUCAGUGGCAGCUUUGUGGUGAUUUGAAGGUUGUUGCUCUCUUGCCUGGUCUGCAGACUGGAUACACAAAGUACUGCUGUUUUCUCUGCGAAUGGGAUAGUCGUGCAAGAGAUUCCCACUACAACAAGAAAGACUGGCCACUCCGACAGUCAUUGGAGCCUGGGAGGAAAAGCGUUCAGCAUCCACCACUUGUUGAAUCAAGGAAGAUUUUGUUACCACCCUUAUACAUCAAGCUGGGUCUGAUGAAGAACUUUGUCAAGGCCAUUGACAAAACACAAGCAGCUUUCAAGUACCUUCGUGGAAAAUUUCCAAGGUUAAGUGAAGCUAAGAUAAAGGAAGGUGUCUUUGUUGGUCCUCAGAUUCAUGAAGUUCUUCGAGAUGAUGCAUUUGACCAUGCACUGC